Molecule: non-coding RNA, 4932 nt
Organism: Triticum urartu
Lineage: Eukaryota; Viridiplantae; Streptophyta; Magnoliopsida; Poales; Poaceae
Source: RefSeq, a predicted model, not a curated record
UUAUCCAGAGCUAGCUGCUACUGCCGAUAUCCCAGCCGCGUACUGGCGAGCAUCUCUCUCGUCCUACGUCUCGUGUCGCCCUCCCCGCGGGCGGCCCGGGCGAAACCCUAGCCGCCACUCCAGCCCCCCUCCCAGAUCUCCCCCUCCCCUCGCCGCCGCCGGCAAGCGCCGCCGGGCAAAGCCCGCGUGGCGUCGGUGGCGGCGGGGCCUCCCAUUUUUUCCCUCUCACGAGGCCUGGGCAGCGCGGGGUCGCUCGGCCAAGGAGAGGAGCGGGGACGCGGCGGGCGCGAUGCGCGCGGCGAGCAAGCGCCGGCAGGCGUGGUGCGCGCGGCGAGAAGGCGCAGCGAGCGUGAUGGGCGCGGCGCGGGGUGUGCUGCGUGCGGCGAGAAGGCGCGGCGAGCAGGGGCCGGACACGAUCUAGGGUUUCGGCGGGCCCUGGGCUUCGCUGCUGAGCAGGGAUGCGCGACGGCGCGCGUGCGUGCACGACGCGAACCAGCUGCGUGCGUCGCGGUGGCGUGCGGGGGUUUCCCCUGUGCCGAUCUGCCGGGGCGGAUGCCCGGUGGCCUCGCGCAUCUGCCAUGGCGGGCGCUCGCGGGAGUGUGGAGGGGGCGCUGCUGCGUGUUCUUGGAUUGCAGGGGCGAGGAGUGGCGCUGUGCUUGUGCGUCGUGGAGGUGUGGAUGCUGGUGGGCUUCUCCCUUCAACCGUGUGCACGUCCAGCUCCUAGAGCAGGGGUGCCGUCCAUCCUGUUGGUGCUUGGGGAGGGUCGGGCUCACCAAUUCCAGCGCGGAGGUCCGGUCCUAGCGCGCGGCGGCGCGAGCCUGUUAACUUUGGCUUGGUUUUUUUGCUCUGUUCCGGUGCGCUGCGGUGCGGGCCGGUCAGUUUAGGUUCUUCUCUGGUCUUUCUUGAGCGCUGCGGUGCGAAUUCUCGCCUAGAUCUGCGCACGGAGUCAGAGGAUGGCCGAAGCCGACUUGGUUCGCCCAGGUCCUGCGAGCGGCGGGGCAGACCGGUCAGGUUGGCAUGUGCUCGCUUAGUUUCUGCAUGCGGUGGCGACAUUCCCGUGUCUGGUAGUGUGUGCCUGACUUCAUCCGGCCCGGUGGCGAUGGGUAGGUCUCGGAUCCUGGAUGGGUGGCGGAAGACUUGGCUCCGGAUGAAAAUCCUGCAUUGACCUCGUCGGUGCCGACGGUAACGACAUCUAUGGAUAUCGUCUUCUUCCUUGGAGGUACCGCCGUGGAGCUCAUUGCUCUUCCUACCUCAUGGCUGAGGUCUCGGGUGAAAACCUAAGAUCUGGCGGAGCCAGAUUGGAUGAUGGUGGUGUUAGCAAUACCACUUCCUCCUUGUAGGCGUCAUCUUGGUGACCUCGACGAUGGAUUUCGAUGAUGUGCACGGUUGUCGACUGAGCUUGGGUUUGUGUUGGUGCCGGCGGGUUUCUUUUUCUUUCUUUUCUUUUUGCACUAGCCUUUUUGCUGUGCUUUUCUCCUUUGGAGGGCUCUUGUUACUCAUCUUCUGAUCAAUGAAUUUGGCAGUUCUCCUAUCAAUGUUAAAAAAAAACAAGUGUAUUUUAUUCUCUUUUCAUAUCUCCGGGCCUCAGUGACUACGGCGUUUUGCCGAUCUUAAUCAAACUCCGCUCUUCGGCAAACUUCGGGUACAGAAGCUAGCAACUUUGAUUUCAGGCUCAGAUGUUGGUGAGGUGAUUACAAUCUAGUAGAAUAGAUCGCCCGUUCGUUUUCCGGCCAGGGAAAGUAUUUAAUGGUUGGCUGAAGGUAGUUGCUAAUAAAGCUAGAUGGCGCAUGGUGAGGGGUUUGUUCCUUCGAAUGAACUAUCGAUUUGUCAGUUAGCUGAGCGGCAUCUAUAUGAGCCUAAUACUAAUGAAGAGGUCAACCCAGUGAUCAGACAGCAGGUGCUCGCACAUGCGGAUUUGACACGCCAUCCUCAUGGUUGGAAUGUGGGGUCUACUCUUAGUGACUAUUCUUUUCAUCCACUAGCACCUUACCCUAAACCUGAUCAUGAAGCCUACACCCUAGGGACCAGGAUGGUAGCAAAAGGUCUAGAUUGAGAUGGUCACACAGUCGAGUAUGUUCCGCAACCCAAAGGCUAUGUUGAGUGGGGCAUCUCUAUAUUGAAUAACCACUCGUUUUGUUUGAAAGAAUAAGCGGAGAACACCGAUUACAUAUAUGGGGCCAUUUAUUGCUCUCUUGGUGAAUAUGAAGUUUCAGAUUCAUUACUGAGGUCACUACUGGAAAGAUGGGAUACAGAAACAAAUACUUUUCUUUUUUCAUCUGGUGAACGCACCGUGACUCUGCUUGACAUGCUUCUAAUGUUGGGUCUUCCUUUAGUUGGAGAUCCAUACGAGGAAUAUGUUCCCUCUAUAGAUGACCUAGAACCUUCAAAGCUUAUGUUCCCAAAUUUCUUAUCUGGCUUUUUAGAAGAAUUCUAUCGGCUCAGCCGCGUAAAUGGAAGUGUGAUUUUUCAAGUUUGGUGUGACCAUUUCCAUAACAAACGCGAACGCACUUCAUCUUUCACCUCCCUUCGGGAACAACACAUGUACGUUGUGGCUUUUAUAGCCCACUGGCUUUGCUCUUACGUGGUUGUUGGUGGGGGGCCUUAUAUUCGUCCCGGUGUCCUUCUGAUGGCCUCUUGGAUCGUUUUGGGUCGCAAUAUCUCUUUGGCCCCCUCAGCACUUUGUUCAUUGUAUUAUUCUCUUCGAAGGAUCAGUAUGCACCCCGUUGCCCCCUCUUAUGAGAAAAGAAUUUGGCCAGUGCAUUAUAUUGCGGGGUGGAUGGGUCUCUAUUUGAGAAAACCAUUUAAGGACAAAGUGAAAGGGAAACAUCUUCCAGAUGUUAAGCAAUUGCCGAUGCAACCAACCAUGAUUAAAACUAUGUUUUGGGUUCCCAUAACUUUCAGUCCUGCUAAGGCACGCAUUUUCCUUGAUGACCGAGCUAAUAUUUUUUGGAAUCCUUAUACUCCAAAGAACUUAGUCGGGGUGGAUCAGUUGCAAAGGUCUUUCACCAUUUCUUCACAUCGGGGUAUGCUUCCAUGGAGGCGUGCUACUGAUGUUGAUGAUCUUUGCAUAGCGGAGCCAUAUCAUCCUGAUCGAGUUGCAUGACAACUUACUUUGAGACAACAAGUGCCCUAUGCUCCGCUGGUCAGCGUGUACACAAAGAAGGAUACUGGGGUUGCGUAUGCGUAUUGGUCGCAUUUGUUACGCUCGGACCAAGGAGAGUUCCAGUACCUUCUUAAUGAUGCGCAGGCAUUUUCUUUUGUGGCCUGGAACAACUGGUGGGUGGGAUUUAUGAAACCAUUUAACAACAUAUUCAAUACUCUUCGUCCGGGCAUCUCGAAUGGUUCCGCAGAAAUGUAAUUUUCUGAAACGCGGAGAGGAGUACAUAGUUCCCCGCAAGCUUUCGGAGAAUGAUUUUGUUGUUAUAAAGGAAGUCUCCGCCAGGGGUAAGGAGGAGCAUAUUGCAGCCAUCAAAUUGAAUGGAAGGAGAAUUAUGGACCACCGGCAUCCCAUUUUGUGUGGCUUUCUCUCAAAUGAUGAACCUUUAAUCAACUCUAAAAAGAAGAAGCGAAAGGUUAAGGAUGUUGUCGCUACUCAACCCAUGAAAUCUAAAGAGCAAAGUGGCAUACCAAAGUAUGUUGUUGCAGUUGGUUCUUCCUCUACUCAUCCAUUGCUAGUGGGUAGUGAUGAUCUUCCGGAAACUGCCCCGGCCACCGGCGGGCAGAAGCGUAGAAAUUUAUCGCCCACUCAUGAUGACGAGGAAGAGAGGCUCCCCCUCAAGCGCAAACUUGAUUUUUCACAAGAAUAUGAUUUUUCUGAACCAAUAACCUUGGACGGUCAAUCGUUAGAUGUUGAGCUUAGUAGCUUUGUUAAUGAUGAAGAUUUUGGCCAUGUUCUCACGGGAGAAAAGGAUCAUGGCCUUGGUGACCUCUUUAAUUUAUCCGACGAGGAUUAUACCAUUGAUGAGUGUGGCACAAGUCGUCUGCCUUCCAACCCGGGUGUGAAGCUGUGCCCCAUACCCCUAGUGCUCUUGAUUUCUUGUCAACUUUACCUGGUUGCGACCAAGAAAUUCGCCACUCACAAGACCCUGAGGUGAUGGUUGUAUCAGGGAAAGGCGCACAGAUGGACUGCAGUUUCAUCAAGGACACGUUUAUGGAUGCUACGAAUUUCGUAGUGAAACGAGUCCUCGAAUGACUGAACGACUCUGCCCUUGGUGAUCCCGAGCGACGCAUCAUGCUUGAGAGUGUUUAUCAAACGCUGCCCAUGCAAGUGCUUGAGGUAGCUAAGGUGCAGGCCAUUUUGGUCGGGCUUAUUGACCUUUCCAAGAAGUUGGAGGGUGGCCAGACCGAAUUCAUGAGGGAAUCUGAGCGAGAUGAACAUGUUGUUGCUGAAGUAGAACUUAAGAUUAAGUCUGGGCAUGAGGUUUCCAAGGCCAUAAUUGAGGACUUAUCUACCGUAGAAAAGAAGUGCACUGAAAUGGAGGCGCGGGAAGCAGAGCUGAAGGCCUAGCUUGAAGAGGUUACUGCUACUUUGCACAUGCUUAAAUUGGAAAUGGAACAGCGCUGACAAGCACAUGAUGCCCAUCAAUCUGAACAGAAGAAGUUGGUGAAGAGUCUACUGGAUACCAAUGCUGGCAAACAUACAAGGCUUGCUGAAUUUAAACAAAAGACAAUAAAUUUAAAGACCGAAGCAAGUCAGUUGUUGAACAGCCUGCAGAACUGGCGAGCUCCUUGAGAAGGCCUAGACUUCGCUUAGUUUUUUUAUUUAGCCAUUUCAAUCAUUGUUCCAUUUCGAACCAUUUAAUUUCCAGUCUUCAGUUUCAAUUCAGAUGUAUCAGUGCUUUAUUUCUUCAUGUGGGAACUUUAGAUUUAUAUAUGAUAUACUGGUACGCGGACUAGCACAGAUUUGACGUUGAAGCAUCUUAUUUAUUAACA